RNAcentral lists this transfer RNA (66 nucleotides) under Psammotettix sp. EMHAU-2015-Zz053036. Its description in RNAcentral is "tRNA-Leu". Lineage: Eukaryota; Metazoa; Arthropoda; Insecta; Hemiptera; Cicadellidae. The record is from RNAcentral.
AAUGAUUUGGCAGAUUAGUGCAUUAAGUUUAGAAUUUAAUAAAGUAAAUAGUUUUUACAUUCAUUA